AUAAACAAGAACCUCUUAACCCUGUUGGUUCAUUUCUUUCUUUCUUUGUUUUUUUUUUUUUUCCUCAUCGCCAACUACAAAUCGCAACCUUCAUUCUCAUUAAUGAGAGAAAGAAGCGAUCACAUGCUUUUGUAGGGAUUUUUCUAAUUUCUUCAUGAAAGCCAUAUGUUCCCAACCAAUCAACUGAGGGCCGCAAGAGGCCAUUCAAGGAACAUACCGUGUUUGGUCAUCAAACAAAUAAGGUCAUGAUGGCAAACAUGGACGAGUUUUCUUCUUUCUUUCUUCACUUAAUUUGACAUAGUGGCUGCUCAAUGUCUCUGGACCACCCUUUGUCUUUGUUGUCAGUAGUCACCGACCAGUGCUCCAUUCGGCUGUAAUCCAACUAUAUGUGUGUGCCUUAGGCCAAGGUAACUCACCAAGUGGGUUUGAUUAGGACCCAAACCAAACAGCUUCAGAAUCCCAACAAAAUUUACGAGGGGUUCCUUGGGGGAAAAAACAGAGACUUGGAUUACAGAUGUUCCAAACUUUUAAAUAUGAAGCAAGAGCCUGAUAGGAUAUACAUGAGAUUGGCCGUUGAGAUAAGUGAGACGUGUCAAGGAAAAGAAGAUAAAUCUCUCUUGCUCAAAACAUUAUCCUAUAAUUUUUUUUUACGUCGGCUCAUCAUUAUUAGUUAGCUGAAAACUGUGUUAAGAUAAAAUAAAUUUAAAAAUCUUGCUCUAAAACAAACAAGCUGGUGUUUGCAGGCUCAAGCAAAUUGUUUAUAACUAAGUGAAGCGUUACAUCAGAUGGAAAAGGACAAAUGUUGGAUAAGGCAGUAAGCAAUUUGCAGGGUUAUUCUGCGCCUUUAGUCACAUAUGAUACGUUAUAAUAAAGAUGUUUAGCGAACAAGUGCCAUUUAGAGACAUGAUUAGGGGGUGAAAAACAAACACUGCUUCGAGCCUUUUUCUGUUGACUUGCCCAAAAGAGUCUUGCAGACUUAGGGGUGGGAGAACGAGAAUUAACCCCAAAAGAAUCUGGGGAUUCUUUACCAAUGAUACAGGCAAUGGCACUCCAUGUCCAUCCCCACCAAAAGAAAGAAAGCGAAACUAGGGCAUUUGAUUGCCAAGUAUUGAUGGUCUCAAAAGCAGUUAAAAAUGGAAACGGAAGCACUGCCUUCGGGUCUCUUUGUUCAUGUUAUCUCGUGGAGAAGAAUAACUUUGCUUCCAGUGAUAGAGCCUCUUUUUUACGAGGGGCCCUCUAAGGUGGAAGCAAUAAGUGGGAAGUUUGGACAAUAUUGUGACUUGUCUUUUCUAGUGUGAUUGUGUCAGAGUAUGCAGUUUGUUUGUGGGUGGCUCAUCUUUUCCCCUUUGAUCUCUGCCAAGUUGGGUUGUUCAAUUUCCUUUUGGCCUUAGCUGUGCCUCUAAUUUGAAGGUGCAUUUUCAACUCUAAAUCCUAAUGUUUCUCCAGUUCAAUGGAUCUCAAAAGACAUGGCCGGUUUGAAUUUUUGAGGAAGACGCACCAAUCUCUUUAUUCAUGUGGUUUAUGGGCGGCAUGCUGAAGAAUGCAAGCUGGAAAAGGGAAGGUGAUGGAAAACCAUGGGAAUUAACGUGAGGCGUUCUUUCUCUGAGAUCUAACAUUGAAGUUGCUGAGAUGAACUGAGAAAAGGAUAUUAUGUUCAACAUACUUGUAGAAGAGGAGAGGUGCAGUUUUCAAGAAUCCAUAUGGCCAAACUUUCAAAGUGGGACAUAUCAGUAUAACAUACUGGGAUGUCUUGGCCCAAAAAUCAAUGAAGAUAUUAUUGUGAGCGGCCCAUUUUGAUGAGUAAAAGAACAAACUAUUAACUCAUUAAGAUAUUACUGAGGUGUAGUUUCUUUAUUAUGCAGUACUUAUUUGUUAUUAUCAUAUUAUUUGACAGAGGUGGAAUCUAUAAAUCGUUUUUAGUUAUUUUUAAAGUGAUGUCUAUGAUGACUAAUAUGUAACUAACAAAUUUUAAAGACGCAAUUAAAGUACGAUCAGCAAAGGUCCUAUGGACCUUGCUGGGCCGGUUCGAUUGA
Long non-coding RNA from Prosopis cineraria, 2033 nucleotides. RefSeq lists it as uncharacterized. The record is from RefSeq and is a predicted model, not a curated record. The transcript has 2 exons. NCBI's taxonomy places the organism in Eukaryota, Viridiplantae, Streptophyta, Magnoliopsida, Fabales, Fabaceae.